GAGGGUAUAGCUCAGAGGUAGAGUGCAUGCUUAGCAUGCGUGAGGUUCUGGGUUCAAUCCUCAGCAUCUCCA
RNAcentral lists this transfer RNA (72 nucleotides) under Camelus bactrianus (Bactrian camel). It matches the Rfam family "tRNA". From Rfam's summary of the family: Transfer RNA (tRNA) molecules are approximately 80 nucleotides in length. Their secondary structure includes four short double-helical elements and three loops (D, anti-codon, and T loops). Further hydrogen bonds mediate the characteristic L-shaped molecular structure. tRNAs have two regions of fundamental functional importance: the anti-codon, which is responsible for specific mRNA codon recognition, and the 3' end, to which the tRNAs corresponding amino acid is attached (by aminoacyl-tRNA synthetases). tRNAs cope with the degeneracy of the genetic code in two manners: having more than one tRNA (with a specific anti-codon) for a particular amino acid; and 'wobble' base-pairing, i.e. permitting non-standard base-pairing at the 3rd anti-codon position. The record is from Rfam by way of RNAcentral. Lineage: Eukaryota; Metazoa; Chordata; Mammalia; Artiodactyla; Camelidae. RNAcentral also lists the same sequence under 2 other names.